UACGUAGGGCGCAAGCGUUAUCCGGAAUUAUUGGGCGUAAGGAGCUCGUAGGCGGUUUGUCGCGUCUGCCGUGAAAGUCCGGGGCUCAACUCCGGAUCUGCGGUGGGUACGGGCAGACUAGAGUGAUGUAGGGGGAGACUGGAAUUCCUGGUGUAGCGGUGAAAUGCGCAGAUAUCAGGAGGAACACCGAUGGCGAAGGCAGGUCUCUGGGCAUUAACUGACGCUGAGGAGCGAAAGCAUGGGGAGCGAACAGG
Molecule: ribosomal RNA, 254 nt
Filed under: uncultured bacterium
Lineage: Bacteria
Description: partial 16S ribosomal RNA
Rfam family: Bacterial small subunit ribosomal RNA
Source: RNAcentral